RNAcentral lists this ribosomal RNA (490 nucleotides) under uncultured bacterium. RNAcentral describes it as "partial 16S ribosomal RNA". It matches the Rfam family "Bacterial small subunit ribosomal RNA", at positions 29 to 507 of the family's 1533-position model. The record is from RNAcentral.
AAUGAACGCUGGCGGCAUGCCUUACACAUGCAAGUCGAACGGCAGCAUGACCUAGCUUGCUAGGUUGAUGGCGAGUGGCGAACGGGUGAGUAAUGCAUCGGAACGUGCCUUUUAGUGGGGGAUAACGUAGCGAAAGUUACGCUAAUACCGCAUAUUCUCUGAGGAGGAAAGCAGGGGACCUUCGGGCCUUGCGCUAGAAGAGCGGCCGAUGUCGGAUUAGCUAGUUGGUGAGGUAAAGGCUCACCAAGGCAACGAUCCGUAGCGGGUCUGAGAGGAUGAUCCGCCACACUGGGACUGAGACACGGCCCAGACUCCUACGGGAGGCAGCAGUGGGGAAUUUUGGACAAUGGGCGCAAGCCUGAUCCAGCCAUGCCGCGUGAGUGAAGGAGGCCUUCGGGUUGUAAAGCUCUUUCGGCUGGGAAGAAAUCGCACCCUCUAAUACAGGGUGUGGAUGACGGUACCAGCAUAAGAAGCACCGGCUAACUACGUG